This is a long non-coding RNA of Dendronephthya gigantea, 1246 nucleotides long. RefSeq lists it as uncharacterized. NCBI's taxonomy places the organism in Eukaryota, Metazoa, Cnidaria, Anthozoa, Malacalcyonacea, Nephtheidae. The transcript has 3 exons. The record is from RefSeq and is a predicted model, not a curated record.
ACCACAUAACUUUACCGCAUAACGAAGUAAGCACAUAACGAAGUUACCGCAUAACGAAGUUACCGCAUAACGAAGUUACCACAUAACGAAGUUACCGCAUCACCCGUUUCGUCUGUUUCCAUACGGCUAUUAGCCGGUAAAAAACACCCCAAACGGACGGGCUGUCAGCCGUGUAACGUACGUCCGUUUGUACGCUGAGUUCUGCCAAUUAUAGUUUCUACAGAAAUUCUUUACCAAAUCUGAAGUUAAACGAAAAAUCACGUUUAUAAUUUUAAAGAAUGAAGUAGUAAGAUACUGAACUUUAGAAGUACAUGGGAUUCUGCUGGAAAAUGCGAAUAUUUUUAUUUGUUAUGAAUUUCAUUCUGGAAUAAACGACGCCAUCUUUUACAAUUACAAGAUUCUAAUAAUGUUUCUUUGGCCUAUGAGUCAGUCAAUUGGAAAGAGUUUACUCUUAUAACAGUUUUUAACAGUUUUUAUUGUGGUAUUUUUCUUUAAUUUUUCAAAGUAAGGCAAUUUUGUUAGGCAUCUGGCUUGAUGAUAUAACUAGUAUGGGGUACAUAUUUAUUUUGGUUUCUUUAUAUCAAUGGUUUAUAUGAAUUAUGCAACUUUGCAAUGAUUUAUAGUCAUUCAUCAUCAUGAUGGUCUCACAGAAAUGGAGAAGGUUGCUCAGCCUACAAGGUUUUUACAAGAAGGUAAUGAUGAUGAGAUACAUGAUAUUAUGAUGAGAUCAUUAUAUUUUCUGAAAUAGAGGAUGAAGGAUUAGAUGAGAGGAUCAGUGAAGUUGAUAGCACAACUCCUUAUCAAAAAGCCCAGAGAAAACAAAAAGGCUUAGGAUGAUAUGAGAACAGAAAUGUUCACUAUAGAACUGAUCAUGGAAGUAGAGAUACUUGUAGCAUACUUCGUCAUGCAAGAACCAUGCAUAUGCAAAAUAAAAGGCAUUCUUAGUGAUUGUAGUGUGGACUGCGCAAUCUUCCUCAGAUUGUUCACCUAUUGCAGUUUGAAGAUACAAGCAGAGAGGAAUUUUCAAAUAAUGUCAUAUUUCUUUAAUCCUAUCCUUUCUGUUAUGCAAAAUAUAUGUAAUAAAUAAACCAUUGGGUGUGUAGUGGUGGUAUAUUGUUGUCGAUAUUGUUCUUGAAAAAACCUUUAAUGCAACCAUAACAAAACACCAUUAAUAUUAUAACUAUAACAUUUAAAACACGGCAUGUAGCUCUAUCACAUAUACCUAUGCUGUAUGGUACAUGGUGUA